CAUUGCCUCAGUACGGCGAGUGAAGCGGCAAAAGCUCAAAUUUGAAACCCUCGGGAUUGUAAUUUGAAGAUUUGGCAUUGGAGAAAGCUAACCCAAGUUGCUUGGAAUAGUACGUCAUAGAGGGUGACAACCCCGUCUGGCUAACCGUUCUCCAUGUAUUGCCUUAUCAAAGAGUCGAGUUGUUUGGGAAUGCAGCUCAAAGUGGGUGGUAAACUCCAUCUAAAGCUAAAUACUGGUGAGAGACCGAUAGCGAACAAGUACUGUGAAGGAAAGGUGAAAAGAACUUUGAAAAGAGAGUGAAAUAGUAUGUGAAAUUGUUGAUAGGGAAGGAAAUGAGUGGAGAGUGGCCGAGGUUUCAGCCGCCCCUCGUGGGCGGUGUACUGCCGACGCCGAGUCAUCGAUAGCGAGACGAGGGUUACAAAUGGGAGCGCCUUC
Molecule: ribosomal RNA, 435 nt
Filed under: Yarrowia lipolytica
Lineage: Eukaryota; Fungi; Ascomycota; Dipodascomycetes; Dipodascales
Description: eukaryotic LSU rRNA
Rfam family: Eukaryotic large subunit ribosomal RNA
Source: RNAcentral